CGUUCGAGACCAGGACGUUGAUAGGCUGGGUGUGGAAGCGCAGUAAUGCGUUAAGCUAACCAGUACUAAUUGCUCGUGAGGCUUGACCCUAUAACUUUG
Molecule: ribosomal RNA, 99 nt
Filed under: Betaproteobacteria bacterium
Lineage: Bacteria; Pseudomonadati; Pseudomonadota; Betaproteobacteria
Description: partial 23S ribosomal RNA
Rfam family: Bacterial large subunit ribosomal RNA
Source: RNAcentral